GAUGAACGCUGGCGGCGUGCCUAAUACAUGCAAGUCGAGCGAACAGAUGAGAAGCUUGCUUCUCUGAUGUUAGCGGCGGACGGGUGAGUAACACGUGGGUAACCUACCUAUAAGACUGGGAUAACUCCGGGAAACCGGGGCUAAUACCGGAUAAUAUUUUGAACCGCUUGGUUCGAUAGUGAAAGACGGUUUCGGCUGUCACUUAUAGAUGGACCCGCGCCGUAUUAGCUAGUUGGUAAGGUAACGGCUUACCAAGGCGACGAUACGUAGCCGACCUGAGAGGGUGAUCGGCCACACUGGAACUGAGACACGGUCCAGACUCCUACGGGAGGCAGCAGUAGGGAAUCUUCCGCAAUGGGCGAAAGCCUGACGGAGCAACGCCGCGUGAGUGAUGAAGGUCUUCGGAUCGUAAAACUCUGUUGUUAGGGAAGAACAAAUUUGUUAGUAACUGAACAAGUCUUGACGGUACCUAACCAGAAAGCCACGGCUAACUACGUGCCAGCAGCCGCCGCCG
Molecule: ribosomal RNA, 514 nt
Filed under: uncultured bacterium
Lineage: Bacteria
Description: partial 16S ribosomal RNA
Rfam family: Bacterial small subunit ribosomal RNA
Source: RNAcentral